AGACUCUUGUCCCCUCCACCUCAGAAUCCAGUGACUCCUCUUUGAAUGAGACUCAUCUGCAGCAGACUGAAGUGGAUAGGAGGCAGUGGAAUCCAUUUCACUCUAUCCCUCAGGAUUUGAGCAAUGUUGACGGGGACUCUAAGAAGCGUGAUUUAGAGGUUCUGAAUGAGCCGGGUUUAGCCACCAUCUUUGCACCUCCUCUUGAGUUUCAGAGCACACAACAGGACUUCAACUCUGACCAACAACAGGCUGAUGGUAACCUUCCCACUAUACCAUCUGAGACAUACAAUUUUAAAAACAUGUCUGAAAGAUUAUCACCAGAUCUUUU
Long non-coding RNA from Esox lucius (northern pike), 328 nucleotides. Lineage: Eukaryota; Metazoa; Chordata; Actinopteri; Esociformes; Esocidae. The record is from Ensembl.